UGGGGAAUCUUGGACAAUGGGCGCAAGCCUGAUCCAGCCAUGCCGCGUGAGUGAUGAAGGCCUUAGGGUUGUAAAACUCUUUCGUCGGGGACGAUAAUGACGGUACCCGAAGAAGAAGCCCCGGCUAACUUCGUGCCAGCAGCCGCGGUAAUACGAAGGGGGCUAGCGUUGUUCGGAUUUACUGGGCGUAAAGCGCGUGUAGGCGGGCUGGUAAGUUGGGGGUGAAAUCCCGAGGCUCAACCUCGGAACUGCCUCCAAAACUGUCAGCCUGGACUCAAGUAGAGGCAAGUGGAAUUGCGAGUGUAGAGGUGAAAUUCGUAGAUAUUCGCAGGAACACCAGUGGCGAAGGCGACUUGCUGGACUUGUAGUGACGCUGAGACGCGAAAGCGUGGGGAGCAAACA
RNAcentral lists this ribosomal RNA (402 nucleotides) under uncultured bacterium. Its description in RNAcentral is "bacterial SSU rRNA". It matches the Rfam family "Bacterial small subunit ribosomal RNA", at positions 355 to 774 of the family's 1533-position model. The record is from RNAcentral.